GAUGAACGCUGGCGGCGUGCCUAAUACAUGCAAGUCGAGCGAACAGACGCGGAGCUUGCUCCUCUGACGUUAGCGGCGGACGGGUGAGUACCACGUGGAUACCCUACCUAUAAGACUGGGAUCACUUCGGGAACCCGGAGCUCAUACCGGCUGAUAUAUUGAACCGCAUGGCUCACAAGAGAAAGACGGUUUUGCUCUCAGGUAUAGAUGGAUCCGCGCCGCAUUAGCUAGUUGGUAAGGUAACGGCCUACCAAGGCAACGAUGCGUAGCCGACCUGAGAGGAUGAUCGGCCACACUGGAACUGAGACACGGUCCAGACUCCUACGGGAGGCAGCAGUAGGGAAUCUUCCGCAAUGGGCGAAAGCCUGACGGAGCAACGCCGCGUGAGUGAUGAAGGUCUUCGGAUCGUAAAACUCUGUUAUUAGGAAAGAACAAAUGUGUAAUUAACUAUGCACGUCUUGACGGUACCGAAUCAGAAAGCCACGGCUAACUACGUG
Molecule: ribosomal RNA, 497 nt
Filed under: uncultured bacterium
Lineage: Bacteria
Description: partial 16S ribosomal RNA
Rfam family: Bacterial small subunit ribosomal RNA
Source: RNAcentral